AUAAAAUAGACGCAUUCAGGCGCCGAAAGGCAUGAUAGGGAAUCCUGUUAGAUUCAGGAGCGGUCCCGCCGCUGUAACCGGGGAUAAAAACCGACUAAGCCACUGCCCAAGAGGGUGGGAAGGCCGGUGAGUAAAGUGAACCGGGAGCCAGAAGACCUGCCUGAAAGACUCGUAACGC
Molecule: non-coding RNA, 178 nt
Filed under: Nitrospirota bacterium
Lineage: Bacteria; Pseudomonadati; Nitrospirota
Source: RNAcentral